UGAGCGACCUUAAUUUGUCGGAAAGCAAAAAUUAUAGGUAUGUAUAAUUAUAGAUCUAGUAUAACAAAAAAAUAGAAAAAAAAUACGAAUCAAGUAGAUUUGUUGGUUAUGAAGACAUACUCUCUCAAUUAAAAUAUUUGAAAACUGGCUGGCAUGUCAGUAAAUGGUAGUAGAGCCUUGUUAGUUGGUGUAUCAUUGUCUUUUUGCUAACUUUCUUUAAAAUUUAUAGCCUUCUCUGACAUCAGACUCGGACUUAUUUUUAACCGAGCCUUACUGGUUUUUUUUUUAUUGCUGAGUGUUUGUUUAUUACACAUUAAUAAGGGGUAGGGUUGAGCUUUCACAAAACAUGUCCAACCUGCCGCAUUUUAUUUUCGCCCGUUUGAAGUCAGAAGUCUCUGACGAUUGUUAGUCUUGUUUUUUUUUCAUAUUCAGUAUUUUCAUAUAUUUUUGAAUUUCGUGUGUCGUCCAUCAUUUUCAUUGAAUACAUUCACAUUUUGUCUCUUUGACAAGUUCACCAUUACCAUUCUCAUUAAACUAAUUAUACUUUGAUUGAUUUAGGAACAUUCAAAUACGACAUGAUAUACGAUGGUCUGUUUUUUUUUUUUUUUUUAAAUUUUAAUUUUUAAACAAGUACAGAGAAAUAGAUUGUUUUUCAACUUGAAACAAGUUAACAGAUGUAUAGAUACUUUUUGGCAUAAGUCACAUCGUGACUUUUAUCAGACGCGGUUCAGUUAUGUUACAGUAAUUAAAAUCUGCAUAUAUAAUAACAACUUUGUUUUCGGAAGGGGAACGGCGGACAAUGGGUAAGAGGAAUAAAACUGAUAUGAUUUUGAUAUCCUUGUUUUUGGUACCAGUUGCAGUUUAAAUUUGAUUUUUUUUUUAGAAGUAAAGGAUAAGAAUAAAGAAAAUUAUAUAUUUUUUCAGGAUCAUGAAGGGUGGACGUCUCAAAUUGUUGGAAGAAAAACCGAAAUACAGAGAAAAAUACACACAACAGAUGGAUGCCUUGAAAAGGAUAGGCUUCGAUGAUGAUGUUUGUAGUGAUAAAAUGUUCUUCAUUUUGAAUGACAAUUUUCAUUUAAUUGUUAACUUUGCUAUUCCUUUUGUAAUUUUGAUUGGUCAGAUCUAUUGUGUUCCUAAUUUUUAGGAAAUAUACCUUAUCACAGUUGACCAAGUGAUUGCGACAAACUACAUUCAUUAAGGUUUCAUUUCUGUGUUUAUAGACAAUGCACUUUCAAAUGGGAAUUCCUUUUGCGGCUUAAGCUGUGCCACUAUGAAGUUUCGUUUAAAAUCAUAUCCCAGGAUGGAAAGCUUACAUGCACUACUAUUAUAUUCAAAGAUCAAUACAUAGGACUUGGGCGUUAUUUAUAUGCUCGAAACUAUCCCUACCUCAACAUUGGGCCAACUUCAGGAUUUUUCAGGGAUGUAUAAGGACGCAGUCACGUUCAAUUAUUUAACCUUAGCAAAAAAUUAUUAUUUUUCUAAUCAUUAUUAAACUGCUAUCUAUGUUGGAUGUUCGAAUACGCAGCCAUACUUUUAAUUACUCUACCAUUGUCAAAUUUGAAAUAUAAUAUCAGCUUAAAUCGGUCAAUGCUAUUCAUUGAGAAUGUAUUUCUGCUUUUUGGUCCGGUUGAUGUCUCUUUGAGACAUUUCCCAUUUUCAUUCUCUAUUAUUUAAUAUAUUUUCAGGACAUGAACAUUUUACACUGCAUGUUAGGAGCGAUUAUUCAUUUGACUGAAGUGAAGUUCAAGGAGGCGGACAAAGUAAAUGAGCCUCUAGAAAUAGUGAACAUUGACCAGGUUGAUCUAGGUACUCACAUUAUUACAAAAUUUCUAUUAAAUUUUUUUUUUAUCAUUUUUAUUUAACAAAAAAGCCCUAAGGCUUUCUUCUUAAUGUUUGUGAGUAACACAAUACGUCUUUCCACAAACAUAUACAAUUAAACGAUUGCAGAUAUACGAUUCAACAUACAACACGGAACACUUUAAAAUUAGUAUAUCAACGUCAGUUUUUAAUGAUAAUAAUAUAUGUAAACCGAAAUAGAUAUAGAAGUUUUCUUUAUAGUUCGCCUUUCUUUAUUAUUAUUAUGAAUUAAAAGAAACAACAAUAAAAGUUUUCACACAAUAUGCAGAGGAGAUACUCAAACGUAAAUUCAAAGAACAAAGUGGCAAUGCAAUCAGAAAAAAACCAAAAAAAUAAGUAAUAGUAUACAAAAUGCAAUAUAGAAUACUUAGGAUUAGAACACGAACCCCAUAAAAACCUGUGUUGAUUCCAGGUGCUCCGGAAGGGUGAAUCAGCCAUGAGUGGUUCCUUUUAUGUUGGUUGUUUAAUUAUAAACCUGUUGAUAAGUCUUAUUCGGUUAAUCAUAUUCUUAGGAAAGAUAACGAGGCUACGACAAUUGGGACAUAUUUAUCGUUAUCUUUAAAAGAAAUAUUCCGUAACCAUCAACCAACUUGAGAGUGCGUACCAACAAGCAAUAACUUCAACUUAUUUAGAACCCUUUGUUAAUAGCUUCUUUGUAAGCAACAAUUCUCUGAAAAAUAAAUCAUGAUUGGAAAAUCAAUUUUUGGAUAAUAAUAUCAACUGAGAGAUAAAGAUAUGCUAGAUUUUUGGUACAUAGAAAUGGAAAAACAACAAUUGGGAAAAUGAAAUUUCCCGGUUCAUCGUUAAGUUAUGUUCUCAACCGACCCUCAUAGUCAAUUUCGAGAUUUUAGUCAAGAUAUGAAAUAAACUCAGUUGUAUUUUGUUUCCCUUAUUUCAAUUGCAAGGCUAUAGAUGCGUUGUGCAUAGUCACCAAACUUUGAAUUAUAUUGUUAGAGGUCAUCAUCUGUAAAACGGAACGUGAAAUUAAUGAAUAAUACUAGUUCCUUUUUGUUCUAACAAGCUUAUCAGAAGUCAGCUUCAUCUAAUCAAAAGAAUAGGUCGGCAAGAAAAAAUAUCAAGUAUCAUUUGAAUCACUCUUAAUUAACUGAAGUUUAAUAGUUAAAGCAACAAAGGGAGAUGAUAGAUUUGCCGGCAAAAUAACAAAAAACUAAAGACAUGACACACAACACUACCGAUUAAGUAACUUGGACAGGCGCAUUACCUUUUAGUGAGGUUAAACUAUUUUUUUCUUAAAAUGGAUCCUCUCUAUGUUGAACAGGAGCUGUUUUCGCUUCAGGAGCACCUGAGAUCACCCCAGUUCUGGUGGGGUUCGUGUUGCCAUGUCUUUAAUUUUAUAUGUUGUAUCUAGUGUGCUAUUAGUGUGUUUGUCUGUUUGUUCUUUUCUCUUUUAGCCAUGGCCGUUUAUUUUUAAUCUAUGAGUUUGAUUGUCCCUCUGGUGUCUAUUGCCCAAAUUUUUCUGGAGUUGAGUUACAAUAUUACAGGAUAAUCUAUAGUCAUAUUAAUAGGUUUCUUGAAGUUCAUAUAUUUUGUAAAAAAAUUAAAAGAAAAACUAACGAAAUGUUCCCACAUUAUAAGGGAUUCAGGAAUCUAAUCUUAUAUUUAUUGUAUUUUGAUAGCUGCACAACUCCUGAAUGUAAAACCAUUAGAACUUUGUUUAGCACUUAUCAAGACCAAGACAGAAUAUGGAGGUUUGUUAUACAAAUUUAAUUUAAUAUAAAACUCGUCAACGACUUUAUGCUUAUUAGUACUGCAACUGACAUCGAAAAAGACGCUUAGUUAACGAGUUUAAUGGUCCGGAAUAACACACGGCUGCAAAUUGUUUUAAAUGAUAGAAUAAUAUCUAUAUUUUAAUUUCCGUCGGGUCGUAAAAAGUUUCUAUGGUCACAUUUUUGUAUUUUAUCCCUUUAAUCGGGGUACCCCUCAAUUUACGGUUUUGGGUAGUUUACCUUAAAAUCCAAAAAUAUAUUUUUUGGUUAAAUUUCCCGCUAUUUUCGUAAAUAUUUUCUAUGCACAUAUCAUCAAGGAUCAUCGGAAUGAUGAAGACAUAAAUAUUUUACUGUCUCCAAGUAAAACUUUCAAACUUAAAGUUGGCUGUUUUUUAGAUAGAAAUUUAACGCGUUUUUCUUUGAAAACGAGAAAACAUAUGAUUCAAAAACAGUAUUUGACAUUUGAGAGGACACAACAUAUUAUUGCGAUACUGCAUGCAAAUUUUGUUGGGCAAAUUCCAAACAAUUUUGUCAAAAACUCAAAAAUAAAAACAUCAUUUGUACCUAUAUUAAUUACGGAAAUUUCCUAUCCGUCAAUCAGCUCCACCAUUUAUUUUUUCAUUCACAAUCAAUUUGAUAGUUUCGAUGUGAUAAUGUAGAUUUUGUAGAAGUUAAUUUAUUUUUGAGUGAUUUGAAUACAUAUAGUAGUUCUUUCGUGUAUUUUCUUUAAAUAAGUUAUAUUUUUGUUAAUAAAAUUUUGACUUUAUAUAAAAGUUAACCAAAUCCUUCGGAUAAGAGGUUUUUUUUGUGUAAAAAUACAUUGUAUGUCAAUGUUUAACCUCAGAGCAAUUAAUAUGCAUGCAAGUGGUCGGGGGAAAAGUACUAUUGAAGUUUCGCAGAGAUUUGGUGUGUGACAAGGUAAUGCUAAAAACCAACUUCUCUUGAUAAUCUGCUUUCCGUGGGCGAAUCAUCAGUGAUGUUAUGAGACUUGCACCAGAAGGCAAAAUUGGUGCGUCUUAAAUUAAUGAUUGAUUGAUUGAUUGUUGGUUGCUUAAAGUCCAGUGGCAAAUAUUUCAGGCAUGUUCAGGACGAGAACAAGCUAACAAUAAAAACAAUAGGUAGGUUUUGUCAUAAUAGAGGCCAUUCGGGAUGAUGAUCGGGAAAAUUUAGACUGCCACUGGAAAAUGAUGGGAUAUUGGAUUGGGACAGAAAUUUUCCAUUGCAACAUGCCACUUACGGAUCCCUUAAAGAGUUGAUGCAAAGGUUUUUAACGUGCAAAGAACGUGACACUCCCUUUACACGAGGCAGCGGCUUUAACGUCCCCAUUCUGACCGGACGUGACUGCGAACUUGAUACAUCCCGCACAGCCAAACAGACGCCCAACUUCGUUUUAUUGCCGGUCGGGGGAAGACCAAGUGACCAUAUUUCGUUUCCCCAGUCACCCUUUGGGAACUUUAAAUUAGAAACAACAGAAAUCCAUAUAUGUGACAAAACUGUAACCUCACAACCUGACACUUUUAUACGAUCUCGCGCUCAGUUUCUUCCUUGUAGUUUGGAUAUGAAAACAGGGUUUUUGUGUAAAAGAAAAACCUUUUAAAAAAACCAGAAAACUACGCAAAACUGAGUCCUCUAAACGUGUUAACAGUCUUUUAAGUUGUGCUUAUUAAUGUGUGUAAUCAUUUAUCCAUGCAUAACCAAGUACUUAUUGAAGUAAACACCAGUGCAAUUAAGUAAAACAGUCACUGAAAAAAUAGAAUUUGAACUUGCUGUCAGUUCAUUAAUAACGAUUGUUAGUGAUGUGAUUUGUUUUUCCAUAUGAAAAAGCCUUUCUCAUGUAGCACAUCCUCUAUAUAUACUGAUCAAUUUUACCCAAGAUUGUCUCUGAUGCUUACCAAACUGCCAAACUCCAGAACUAACUAUAUAUUGUGACACCUUACAAUUCAGACACAGUGGGGCCAAGGGAUAUGAAUUAUAGAGUUUAGCUUGAACUCAAUUUAGGGGAUGCCAUAUCUGCUGCAGGAAAAUGAAAGUCUAUAUUAAGAUUUUCAGAAUUACACCAAGGUGUGUCUGAAAAUAUCAAGGAUACAUUAAAAGAAGAACAAUUACUUCAUCCUGCCACCAGUGGUCUUAUGAGCUAUGUCCUCGUUUUGGUAUUUCAAUGGAAAUGAUGCCCGCAUAGCUUGUUAAUAGAUAUAGGAAUAUGUGGUAUGAGUGCCAAUGAUACAACUCACCAUCCAAGUCACAAUUUAUAAAAAUAAACCAUUAUAGGUCACAGUCCGGUCUUCAACACAGAGCCUAGGCUCAAAAGUUCAUUUGAUAGUUAAUCUAUGAAAAAUAACACAAAGGCGCUUCUGAACCGUAUAUUGUCUCUAAAGAUAACAAAAAUUCGUAAAUGUAUGGCUAUUACAAAAUCAAUCGUUUCUGUAGCAACAUUCUCCGCUUUACAUUUGGGACUGGCAGUGUAGAUACAUCAUGCAUAUGCAUAUGGGAAUAUGGAUCACGAACAUUGAUCGAAACUUUGUACUCACAUUUCUUUUGUGUUUCCUAUGCAAAGGGAAGACUAUAUCUGACGAGUUUGACCAAAUCAUGACGGUAUUUACGCUCCAGAUAGCAUUUGUACUAAAAAAAACUGUGUUUGCUUUGAACAAACUCUGUCCUGCGCCGAACUUGUUCUUAUAAAAAAGGGAAGUGUCUUGUAAUGCUAAUACGCAUACUGAAUCCGCAUAUGAUGACUAAGAGAUUGAUUCAUGUCCCUAUUUUAUGAAUACUUGAGCUAUAGUGUGUGUCGCUUUUAAAAGUUAUAUAAGGAUCAUGACUGAAUUUGAAUUACAACAUUAAAAAAUUGGCAUUGCAUUGUAUAAUUUUUCAUCCUUCCCUUAAAAAAUCCUACUAAAAAAUGUUCAUGCACCAAACUGACUUUGUUUUACACUCAUUUUUUUUUAAACCUCGCAUUCGCCUCGGGUGACUAUAGUAUAUUUUGUGUUAUUACUGCUCUGUCCAGACUUUGCAAAUACACAAUAUGUAUUUAUCUAUAACUAGAUACUAAUUUUCACAAAAUACACAACCUUUAAGAUGCAAAAUUAAAAACACUGUUUCAGCGCUUGAAUUUUGUUUUUUUUCAAAGAUAGAAAAAAUAUUGAAAUAAUUUGAUAAACUGGUGUUUUAUACCUAAGAAAAUAAUUCUGUAAUAUACUAUAGUGAAAUACUAUACACAAUAUGAAAGUUUAUGGAUGUGAAAAGGUCAAGGCCACUUCUUCUUUUGCUAUGUCUUAAAUGGAAAAAAAUCAGAAUGUUCCAAAUCAACGCCAUUUUGUAAUGGCAGCUCUUCAUAUAAUUAGUCAAACUUGUCGUUUUAACAUCGUUUAUAGCAUAUGCUUAUGAUUGAAUCGUUUUUGUAGCAUUCUAUUGAAUAGAUAUCAGAAUAUUUCUCCUUUUUUUCCUUGUGUUUAAAAUAUUGAUAUUUUCAGGUCUGACCUUUGACCUCAAUUUCACAAAUUUGUGACCACUCUGGAUUUUUACGACUAAACUUUUCUUAUUGUACACGUUGUUCUCUUUCCAUCGAUAUAUAAUUUAGGUGUGUGUUCUUCCGGACCAUUAAAGUUUUAAAAAAUGAACUCUGGUUGCAGUACUAUAUAAUCUUAUAAACCGGACGAGCUUUUCGGAUACAUAAAUCUCACCAAUGCAGCUCACAUCAAAGCAGCAGAAAAGUCCUAAUCAAAUAAGAGAUUAGAGAGAAAUUAUCUAAGGAAUGACUGUAAUAUUUUUUUCUGUCUAUGAAGAAAUGUGGUGCACACCGAACAACUCGCGUAGCGUGUUAUUUUAAAUUGUGCACCACAUUUUUUAUAUUAUUAUGAAUAGGCAGAAAAAAAUAUUACAACCAUUUCUUAUAAUGUAAUUCUUAAUUCCAUUUUAAACCGGAGUAAAUAAUGAAAAAUCGUUGAUGACGUCACGAUCACAUGACAAAAUUAUGUCUAUGAGCUGAUAAACAAAACAUCGUCAGCCAAUCAGAAGACACGUUACAUCCAAAAUUCAAUUAUUAACUGUUAAUACUAGCAAUUGAUUUUCAAUACAUGAUGUUUGGGAUCAAAUUGUCGCGUUCAUGUUUCAUUAUCCAAUACUUCCUAUUCACACAGACAUAAAACUUGUUUUAGAACUGUCGUUAAAUUUCAUAUUGCCGUAGAAUAUCAACUGUGAUUUCGUUGAAAUUAAAACUUUUGCAUCAAGGCAAUACACAAUGAGGUUUAUAUCAAAAGUGUUUUCCUAGCUUUCUAAAACAUUCUAGUUUACUAUGUAGUAGGUUAAAUCUACACUAUGAUGUCAGUUCUAUAUAUAUUAUUAUGGAAGGUAUGAAACAUGGCAUCCAUAUAACUGAAUACACAUGUUUUGUGCAAAGAUCCAAGGGGUAGUCUGCUGUUACCGUUGAUAAGGAAUUUAUUUAGUAAAUUUUAAGUUUGCAUAUGCAUAUGAAUGUAAUUAUACAGGUUUUGAUAAUAAUAUUUGAUUUAGCUAUAUGAUUUUUUUCCUGACACGUUCUGCUACUUAAUAUUGAUUAAUUUGUGUUUUGAUUAAUUUUGUAGGUAAAGGAGGUAAGCCUUUGUUUCAAGUAUAGUUCUCGUUAGAUAAGUAUUAUUUGAAAAGAAUUUAUGAAAAUAAUGGCAUACUUUCCCUCUGACUAUCAACUCUGUAAGCACUUAACGCUUUCUUACGAUUUAAGUUAAAAUCUAAACUUUUAGAUCCUCUAUCUUAGGUUUUCUGUGUAAUGUAUUGUGCAUAACUUUGGACUGUUCGUUUUACUUCUAAUAACGAAGUUCUGAUUGAUUCUCAAUAUUUCCUGCUAAAAUAAUGUUUUUGCAAGUGAAAGGAAAAGUGUGAACCUCCUUAUUAAUAAAUCAAUUAUAUAACAAAGCGUUUCGAAGGUAAUACACUUUACUAGUGCUUGCACUUGAUGACUGAGUUGUUUUAAAAACACUGGAAAAAUACAAAAUGUUGAAGAUAAAUACAAGAGCUAAUAAAGCAAGAAAUACCAUAUGUUGGAACAUACUAUUACUUAAACGAGUUUAACUGUACUGGCGUUUUUAUCUUAUUCUAACAUAUUGAAAAUGCUAUAAGUUCGAAUUGGAAUAAUUCCUCAAGUAGAUUCACAGAACAGACUGUGAUGGGACAUCGAAUAUUGUUUCCAAAAACUAAAUACUAUUGAUUUGAUAUAAAGUAAAUGAGAAUUAAUUCUAUUUUAAUUAAAUCUAAUUUAAAUCACUCUAUUUGAAAUCUUAUUUGUUAUGCUUAUUGAUUCAUUGCUUUGUUCAGGUGAGCCGAUUUACUAUUUAAAAAAUUUAGAACAAGCCCG
Molecule: long non-coding RNA, 8928 nt
Filed under: Mytilus galloprovincialis (Mediterranean mussel)
Lineage: Eukaryota; Metazoa; Mollusca; Bivalvia; Mytilida; Mytilidae
Source: RNAcentral